RNAcentral lists this long non-coding RNA (295 nucleotides) under Mytilus galloprovincialis (Mediterranean mussel). Lineage: Eukaryota; Metazoa; Mollusca; Bivalvia; Mytilida; Mytilidae. The record is from RNAcentral.
UAAUCAUUUUACAACUGUAGCCAUGACCUGCCAAAUGUCUUCUGAUGCUGUUGUAGUUAAUCAAUUUUUUUUCUUCAUGCCUAUUACAUAUGUUUGUAUGUAGCUCUAUUUGUUAAUUUGGUUUACUCGAUCAUGUUUUAAUUGUAUUUAUUUUCAAUCCAUUACAUACCUUAAAAAAUAUUUAAUGUUUUGUAUUGAUAGUUAUUCAAGGACUUGAGAUUUCAAAAUUUUAGCAUACAAUUUUUGAUAAUAUAACAUUCCGUCCAGCUUUAUUUUUUUGAAAAAGAAUAAUUAA